AUAGUGGGCCUUAUUCAAGAUGACGAAGAGGGUGCCUAUUGCAAGAAAGAUUUAAAGGAAUGCAUACUAUAAUACUAAUAGUGGUGGAAUAAUUGUCAAAGGAAAUGGAAAAACCAACAAAGGAAAUGGAAAAACUAACAUACCCGGGAGAGAAAUUUGCAGUCCUGUAACUUAAUAGAAUGGGAAACGAACAAAAUUUGGAAUAUAAAAUACUGAAGUGCUGAGAAAAACAUCUUUUAUCAACUUGAUCAGGACAAUAUAAAAAGGACAAUGUAAAUUCUAUCCAUUGAACAAAUUUACAUAUGUGUGCAUCAUUUCCACUUGUUUCUCAUGUUUUAGCUGUUCAGAGAAAAGUAAGGUUUAAACAUGCAAUAAAUCCAAAUUCUCAUUGGA
Long non-coding RNA from Pantherophis guttatus, 393 nucleotides. RefSeq lists it as uncharacterized. The record is from RefSeq and is a predicted model, not a curated record. Lineage: Eukaryota; Metazoa; Chordata; Lepidosauria; Squamata; Colubridae.